RNAcentral lists this long non-coding RNA (1369 nucleotides) under Dicentrarchus labrax (European seabass). RNAcentral's name for it is "lncRNA (ENSDLAG00005030929.1)". The record is from RNAcentral. Lineage: Eukaryota; Metazoa; Chordata; Actinopteri; Moronidae.
GGAGAGAAAAGUGGGUCACGGGCAGAUGGAGCAUACAGUAGUAACAAUAUGCUGGCUAGCUUUUUAUUUUCUGGUUUUUAUUUUUUCUUCUGUGUUUUAGUAGUGCAGUUACUUCGCUUUGGGUGAAAUAGGGUCAGACUGAACAGGAAAACAAAAGUAGAAGAAAAGACAGGAGUAGAGGGCAGAAUGAGAGAGAAGUUAUUGAUUUAUUAAAUCGAAGCUGUGAAACACUGAGAAAGUACUGCUUUCUCACUGGUUUGAAACAAUAAUGUCUGCACAUUUUCAGUGCAAGUACUUUGUCAACCAAAUGUAGAAUAAUAUCACUAAUACAUUGCAUACAAUACAUACAAUAAUAUUUUUAGAUUCACUACUUGUGACUGUUGCACUCCCAGGCUAAGAGUGAUUUGCAAACUCACAGCCAUAAAUACAGUUACACAGCUUACUGUACAGACGCAGUCAGUGAAGUACGGGCUGAAACCCGCUGUGAGGCCUCAUUCAAGCAUUAUUUUCAGAUCAGCUGUGAGACAGAGACGUCUGCGUGCAGUUGUCCUGACUGGAGAACACAACCUUUGGUGCUUUUGAAUGUUUAUGUCACUUAGCUCAUAUGUAAUAUUUUUAGGUGCAGGUGAGGAGUCUGUACAUGGUGAUUCCAUCUAUUAAAAAACUUGUUCUUCUUUCACACAAUACAGAAAAGCAGAAGCUGCUGGCCAGAGUUUAGCGUGCUUUCAGUCUUUAUCUGCAGAAGUCAGCAGUAUCUAAUUUAACACCUGAUACCCACAGUGUCCUGAAAUGACUUUCACAUAAACAACAGAUUACAAAGGGCUAUAUGAUCAUUUGUGAUCAUCAUUAAAAAAAAACAACAUCAUUUCUUAUAAAUAAAUAGUGAUGGUCACAUGUCUAGUAAGGAUGUUGUCAUGUUAGUUUAAAGCAAAACUAAAUUUGUUUUUCCGCUUUUAGUGUCACAGCCUCUCCGUCUGUUUGAUUCACACCCCUCUUUUGCACUGUGGUGACGCUGACCACCACCAACACAGCUCAUCUGGUUUCUGCUUUUGGUCUCUGUAAGGGAUUAACAGUUGCAACAGUUUCUCCAAACUCACAGAAAUCUUUUUCUCAGAAACUAAAUAAGCAGAAGAGGGUCACUUCUGUUAUUACAAUAACUGCAAGAUUAAAACCCUUACUGUCAUGAAAGCACUUUCUUUGAGGAUAGUAUAAAAUAUGCAGUAUAUAUAUAACUGAUCAUUUCAAGUACUGUACCUCUUUAUGAGGCUACCAAAGGCUCUUAAAAGUGCAGCUGGUGUAUUGUUUUGAGCAAGGCGGUGCUGCCAUCUGAUCCUAUCAUAGGUAUUUGCAUUUAGUUAAGAAUAAAUAA